GUGCUCGCUUAGCCAGCGCAUAUACUAAAAUUGGAACGAUACAGAGAAGAUUAGCAUGGCCCCUGUGCAAGGAUGUGCAAAUUCGUGAGGCGUUCCAUAUUUUU
Small nuclear RNA from Bison bison bison, 104 nucleotides. Lineage: Eukaryota; Metazoa; Chordata; Mammalia; Artiodactyla; Bovidae. The record is from Ensembl.